UCCCUGUUGGCUCAGACAGUAAAGCGUCUGCCUGCAAUGCAGGAAACACAGGUUCAAUUCCUGGGUCGGGAA
This 72-nucleotide transfer RNA is filed under the name Bos taurus (domestic cattle). It matches the Rfam family "tRNA". From Rfam's summary of the family: Transfer RNA (tRNA) molecules are approximately 80 nucleotides in length. Their secondary structure includes four short double-helical elements and three loops (D, anti-codon, and T loops). Further hydrogen bonds mediate the characteristic L-shaped molecular structure. tRNAs have two regions of fundamental functional importance: the anti-codon, which is responsible for specific mRNA codon recognition, and the 3' end, to which the tRNAs corresponding amino acid is attached (by aminoacyl-tRNA synthetases). tRNAs cope with the degeneracy of the genetic code in two manners: having more than one tRNA (with a specific anti-codon) for a particular amino acid; and 'wobble' base-pairing, i.e. permitting non-standard base-pairing at the 3rd anti-codon position. RNAcentral also lists the same sequence under 1 other name. The record is from Rfam by way of RNAcentral. Lineage: Eukaryota; Metazoa; Chordata; Mammalia; Artiodactyla; Bovidae.